UCCUAAAAUCUACAUUAGGGUUGUGUCUUUUGAGCAAUUAUAAACGAUAGCAGCGAUACUCAAGGCUUUUAAUUGAGUUUCAUUGGAGCUAUACAACUGUGCAUGAUUUUUGGAGUUUCGUUUCAUUCAGAGGACUUGAUUCUAGGAUCUUUCGAGGCCUCUUUGGAUUAGAUUCGAGGAGACGAUUACAAGAUGGCCCAAGAAUGUGAUGCAUAAUCGCUGUAUUUGUUGUGCAGUUGUUUUCAUCAUAUUGUUCUUCACCUUAGCAUUCAUCUCACUUCUAUUUUUUUACAUUGGAAUGUUUUUGAAAAGAUAAAAUAUAAGUUAUACNUAUUAAUACAAUUCAAAAUGCUGGCUCAAAUUUUACGAGAGAUGUACAUUGAUCCUGAUAUUUUGGCUGAGUUGCCAGAAGAACAAAAGCAAAUUUUGUUUGUNAAGAUGAGGGAAGAACAAGUGAGAAGAUACAAUGAGAGGGAAAAAGACUUUGAACACCAGGAAAAUAACACCAUCAAGGCAAAAAACAAAGAAAAUAAGAAAAANGUCCAUUACCUGAUAGCAGCUGAUGGGAAUCCUUGGGUGUGGGUGAUUGAUGAUGACUUGGAUUUAAAAGCUAAAGAACAAGAAUUAAAAGAAGAUCAGCUUGCAGAGCAGCGAGCUAUGGAACAAGCACACAAGGAAGCUAAGGAGCUUAUGAAGAAAGAACAGGAGAAACUAGAAGAGGAAGAGAGAAAGCUCAAAGAAGAACAAGAACGACUUGAAAGGGAGGAGGCGGAAAAGGAAGCUCGAGUAAAAAAGUUGCAAGAAGAAGCAAGAAAACUCGAAGAAGAAAGAAAAGAAGCGGAACGAAAGCAGCGCGAGGAACGACGAAAGCAGGAAGAAAAACGAAAAGCUGAAGAAGAAGCCAGGCGUAAAGCCGAAGAAGAAAAAGCUGCUCGCGCUAAGAAGGAAAUGGAAGAAAGAAUGAGAAAGAUGGAAGAAAGGAAGCGAGAGGCAGAGAGAAAAGCAGAAGAGAAGAGAAAAGAGUUGGAGAAACAACGACGACAAGAAGAAAUGAAGAGACUGGAAGCUCAAAGACAAGAGGAACUGAAACGAUACGAAGAGAUGAAAAAAGCUCAGGAGCUUGAGCGACAAAAAGAAGAAGAAAGGAGGCGUAAGCAAGAGGAGGAAGAAAAGCGAAGACGCGCGAAAGAAGACGAAGAAAGACUGAAGCGAGAAGCACUAGAGAAACUGAGACUUGAGAAGGAAGCACAACUCAAAGCUAAGAAACUUGAAGAGGAGCAGCGAAAAAUAGAAGAAGAACGAAAACUUGAAGAAGAACAAAGAGAAAAAGACAGAAAACGAAAGUUAGAGUUACAACGACUUCGUGAGGAAAGACUGCGCGAGAAGAUGAAACGAGAAGAAGAGCUCGUUCAACAGGAAAAGCGAAGAGCACAAGAGAUCUACCAAAGUCUAAAGAACGUCAGAGAACAAGUAAAACGAAAAGAAGAAGAAGAACAAAAGCAAUUAGACGAAGCUUGGAAGCUAAGCGAAGAAAAAGCUAAAGAAGCCGAGAAGGAAAGACGAAACUCUGUGAGUUUAGCUCGAAGAGAAGUUUUAAGAGAACGAUGGCUUGCUGCCAAGAGAAGACAUACAAUGGGUAAAACACUAACGAUUGAAGCACCACACAGUCCGCCAACAUUGUCCACUCGUAGUGGGUCAAUAACAGUUAAACCUAACCGUGCUCCUCCACCAGUUCCUAGUCACCCUCCACCAGCUAUCCCCAACAAAAAACCACUUGAGAAAACUCGAUCAAAAUCUCCACCAGAACGACCCCCACCACCAAACCGAAAUCGCCCUUCGUCAACUCAAGGAAAAACAAACGAUUCUCAAGUGCCUGUUUCAAUACCUGUCCCAGUCCCUCCAAAGAGAGGACGAAAACCCAAGUCACGAGUCGAUGUUAUUGAGUGGUUUCGUGAGGAAGAACUUCCAAAGCGGGCCUGUUAUUUGGGCGAAAAUGUUCUUCCAUAUUUCCAUGGAAUAAUUUCACGCCAAGAAGCGGAAGAGUUAUUACUUAAUAAGAAAACUGGUACAUUUCUCGUUCGGGUGAGUGAACGCGUUUGGGGUUACACAAUUACUUAUCGCUCAGANGGACGUUGUAANCANUAUCUAGUGGACAGCAGUGAAAAUACCUAUCAGUUCUUUGGACAUAACCAAAUAGCGCACCCCACAUUAAACGACCUGGUCGAAUUUCAUAAGAUUCGACCGAUUUCCGGUAUGGGACAAGAAUUAUUGCAGUUCUCGUGUGGACAAGAAAAGGAGCCGCCAGACUACCAAGAACUAGUUGAGCUUGCAAAAGACCAGGANAUGACAUACUUUUGAUAGGUGAAUUGACAAUUUGAGUUGGCACAUCAUAUAUGCAUUUCAGUCUACAGCACGAUCAUAAGCAUUUCCCAAGAAAGCUCUGCAAAAUGGCUUUUUUUUUUUCGUUGCGUCACAAAUUUUCCUUGAAUCGGAAAGAAAACGAAAAAUGUGAUAAUUCAAACAGAUAAUUCAUUAGAUAAUCAAUACGGUUCUCUUGUAGAGAAAUGAUUUAUAUUUUGNAAUCAAAUCACUCAUGUUUUAGUUCACGUCAGAUUUCUAACAGUUUAUUUUUCAGAACACUAAUUUCAUAUCUAUAGUGCAUUUCGGUCUAUAUUGGCAUGCACAUGGUUAAACUCGAAUAUGUUGAAAGGUUGAAUGAUGGAAAAAUAUAAUCCUGGAAUCAUUAGGUUGUUAAUUCUAUAUUUAGAAAAUGAAUUAGUCACACUACCCUGGUUCCAGAGAUUUUCACAGAGAAUAACAUAGAGAAACCUCUGGAACCAGGUUAUAGUCACACAAGAAACGAAAAAAAGGAACGAUACAGGAACAUGAGACGUACAUAACCGUUAUGGUUAUGUACUUCUGGGAACAUAUAAGAGCAUUAUGCCAAUAGAAUGUUUAAUCAGAUUAUCUUCGAAAUAGGCAUUACAUUUAACCUGUGAAACACUAACUAAUUCUCAGCGUGUAAAAAUUAAAGUGCAAACACUAAAACCAUGAAAANCUAAGUUAGNUAGUGCAAAACUGUACUGAAUUANUAGCAUUAUUAGUCGAACAUAACAGUUUUGGUUCGGCUGCACGUAGAAUAUGAAUUAUGCGAAUUUGUUUGUUUUCUAUUGUCCAAUCAACACUAUUUAGAAUUAAUUAGUGCAAUUUGUUUCUUUCACGCUUUCUAGUGUUUGCACUUUAGCGUUUACACACUGGCUGUGAGACAAAGAGAACAAGAAAACUAUAGAGAAGUCCUGAAAUUAACCCGUGAAACAAAAUAUGACUGUUAACCUGAGGUUGUUAAAUAGAUACUAUUUCACGGUUUGUUUGGCUUCACUCUAGCGUUCUACAUAUUUCACGGGCUUUUGUAAAGUAUCGAUUUUUAGCAAUCACUAUAUAGUUGUUUAAGAGACAUCAAUGACAAGACAGUUGUCAGCUCUACAAAUAAUCCAUAAUUUAAAUCAAUUGAAANUAAAACCACUGAUUGUUAACGAUAACAAGAUUUAUGAUAAACAAAACAAGUAAUGAUUUUA
RNAcentral lists this unclassified non-coding RNA (3575 nucleotides) under Exaiptasia diaphana. Its description in RNAcentral is "sH2 domain-containing protein 4B, transcript variant X1". The record is from RNAcentral. Lineage: Eukaryota; Metazoa; Cnidaria; Anthozoa; Actiniaria; Aiptasiidae.